Molecule: long non-coding RNA, 419 nt
Filed under: Trifolium pratense (red clover)
Lineage: Eukaryota; Viridiplantae; Streptophyta; Magnoliopsida; Fabales; Fabaceae
Description: long non-coding RNA (TPRA_LNC003207)
Source: RNAcentral
GAAGUGAUUACAUUCAUGGAGGCAAGUGAAAACUUUUGUUUGUAAUUGAUAGUAGUUGGUUUUUGCUUUUCUUCCUUCGGAUUGUAUUUCCCUGAUGGUGCUGUUUGUGGCUUCUAGUGCUAUUGUCCUUUCUAGAAUUAAUUGGUAAUUCACAUUAUUGGUAAUUGAUGGGCUGCAAGUUGCACAAUGUAUGUGUGUAUUCCUGCACCAUAUUAGUGGUUUGAUACUUCUCUGUGCAAGAAUGGUUUAUAGGUUCAAGGCUUAUGUAAAAGUUUAUGAGUGCACUUUGUGUUGAGAGUGUCUCCAUUCAUAUUGCUUCUUGGUCUCAGUUUGCAUCACUUCAUACUAGAUGGUCUUUGAUUUUUUUGUGAAACAUUUAAAGCUCUCAAAUCAUUUAUUGUUGCCACACUACAGAGGAG